This is an RNA transcript of Canis lupus familiaris (dog), 2484 nucleotides long. It is a transcript of the gene named interleukin 1 receptor accessory protein, with no coding region annotated. Lineage: Eukaryota; Metazoa; Chordata; Mammalia; Carnivora; Canidae. The record is from RefSeq and is a predicted model, not a curated record. The transcript has 14 exons.
GCUGCGCUCGGGCCGGACUGGGCGGGAGGAGCCGCGCCGGGCGACCCUGCCCCCGCGCCCCGCUGCGCCGCGCCCGCUCUGCCCCCGGGGAAGGAUGGGACUUCUGUGGUGUGUGAUGAGUCUCUACUUCUAUGGGAUCCUGCAGAGUGAUGCCUCAGAACGCUGCGAUGACUGGGGACUAGAUACCAUGAGGCAGAUCCAAGUGUUUGAAGAUGAGCCAGCUCGCAUCAAGUGCCCACUCUUUGAACACUUCUUGAAAUACAACUACAGCACAGCCCAUUCAGCUGGCCUUACUCUGAUCUGGUAUUGGACGAGGCAGGACCGGGACCUGGAGGAGCCAAUUAACUUCCGCCUCCCUGACAACCGCAUUAGUAAGGAGAAAGAUGUGCUCUGGUUCCGACCCACCCUCCUCAAUGACACGGGCAACUAUACCUGCAUGUUAAGGAACACUACAUAUUGCAGCAAAGUUGCAUUUCCUCUGGAAGUGGUUCAGAAAGACAGCUGCUUCAAUUCCUCCAUGAAACUCCCACUGCAUAGACUGUAUAUAGAGUACGGUGUUCAGAAGAUCACAUGUCCAAAUGUAGAUGGAUUCUUUCCUCCCACUGUCAAACCAACUAUCACUUGGUACAUGGGCUGUAAGAAAAUAAAAAACUUUAAUAAUGUGAUACCUGAAGGCAUGAACUUGAGUUUUCUUAUAGCCUUGGUUUCAAACAAUGGAGAUUACACGUGCGUUGUUACAUAUCCAGAAAAUGGGCGUAUCUUCCAUCUGACUAGGACUCUAACUGUAAAGGUGGUAGGCUCUCCAAAAGAUGCAUUGCCUCCUCAGAUCUAUUCACCCAAUGAUCUUGUGGUCUACGAGAAAGAACCGGGAGAGGAGCUACUCAUCCCCUGUACAGUCUAUUUUACUUUCCUGAAGGACGCUCGCAAUGAGGUUUGGUGGACCAUUGACGGAAAAAAGCCAGAUGACACCAGUAUUGAUGUAACUGUUAAUGAAAGUGUAAGUUUGACUGCAACUGAAGAUGAAAUGAGAACUCAGAUUUUGAACAUCAAAAAAGUUUCUGCUGAGGAUCUCAAGCGCAACUAUGUCUGUCAUGCUAGAAAUGCCAAAGGAGAGGUUGACAAAGCAGCCAAGGUGAAGCAGAAAGCUCCAAGAUACACAGUGGAAUUAGCAUGUGGUUUUGGAGCUACAGUCCUGCUGGUAGUGAUUCUCAUUGUUGUUUACCACGUUUACUGGCUGGAGAUGGUCUUAUUUUACCGGGCUCAUUUUGGAACAGAUGAAACCAUUUUAGAUGGAAAGGAAUAUGAUAUUUAUGUAUCUUACGCAAGGAACGCUGAGGAAGAAGAGUUUGUGUUACUGACCCUCCGUGGAGUUUUGGAGAAUGAAUUUGGAUACAAGCUGUGCAUCUUUGACCGUGACAGUCUACCUGGGGGAAAUACAGUGGAAGCAGUUUUUGACUUCAUUCAGAGAAGCCGAAGGAUGAUUGUUGUCCUGAGCCCAGACUAUGUGACAGAAAAAAGCAUCAGCAUGCUGGAGUUUAAACUGGGCAUCAUGUGCCAGAACUCCAUUUCCACCAAGCUCAUUGUGGUUGAGUACCGCCCCCUUGAGCAUCCACACCCAAGCAUUCUACAGCUGAAGGAAUCUGUGUCUUUUGUGAGCUGGAAAGGAGAAAAGUCCAAACAUUCUGGCUCUAAAUUCUGGAAGGCCUUGAGGUUGGCUCUUCCCCUGAGAAGUCUGAGUGCCAGCUCUGGCUGGAAUGAAAGCUGUUCUUCCCAGUCUGACAUCAGUCUGGACCAUGUUCAAAGGAGGAGAAGUCGUUUGAAAGAGCCCCCAGAACUCCAGGGCACAGAGAGAGUUGCAGGCACCUCUGCAGCUCCAGAUACAAUGUCCAAGCACAGAGGGAAGCCCUCUGCAGCCUGUCGCUGCUGUGUUACCUACUGUGAAGGAGAGAGUCACCUUAGGAGCAAGAGUCGGGCAGAGAUACAUACCCAGCCCCAGUGGGAAACACACCUCUGAGACAAAAGACCUGAGGACCUGAAUCCAGAAUUAUUGCCUCUAACGGCCUCAGAAGAGCACACUCUUCUUGAGCCCUAGAAGGUUAAAUGGAUAUCAUUUACAUAGAAAUAUUGCCUAUUUAGGAGCAGGAGUUUUAAAUCAAGUAGAGAUGAAUUGGCUUUAGGUAAUUCUCUAAAAAUGUGAUGCUCAAACCAUCUGUCAAUGAGCCAUUUCAUUUUUGAAUAUCCAGGGAGCCUCAGAAGGAUUGAAGACAUUUAGAACACAGCAGAGCAUGUAACACAGUCAUUAGAAAGCCUCCCUUGAUCCAUUUAUCUGAAGAGCUAAAUGAGGAAUUCGCACUGAACAUGCUAGAGCUCAGAUGAAGGAAGAGACAAAUGCUGUUGUGGAUAUUAUGAAAUCAGUUGCUAUCUAUGCUUCUUCUGUCUCUACAAUUUGGAUCCUCUGUAUUAAAGAUUUGAAUUUUUAUGACA